This 98-nucleotide microRNA precursor is filed under the name Tetranychus urticae (two-spotted spider mite). RNAcentral describes it as "microRNA tur-mir-305 precursor". Its record names the gene tur-mir-305. Lineage: Eukaryota; Metazoa; Arthropoda; Arachnida; Trombidiformes; Tetranychidae. The record is from miRBase by way of RNAcentral.
GGAAGCUUGUUAUUUGUACUUCAUCAGGUGCUCUGUGUUAUUUUUUAUGUUAUGAUGUUUCAGACAUCUGAAGAAGUACAUUUAUCAAGGCUUAACCG